RNAcentral lists this non-coding RNA (23 nucleotides) under Rattus norvegicus (Norway rat). Lineage: Eukaryota; Metazoa; Chordata; Mammalia; Rodentia; Muridae. The record is from RNAcentral.
UUCCAUGUAAAGUGUCUAGGGCA